GAUGAAGAACGUAGCGAAAUGCGAUAAGUAAUGCGAAUUGCAGAAUUCAGUGGAUCAUCGAAUCUUUGAACGCACAUUGCGCCCGCCAGUAUUCUGGCGGGCAUGCCUGUUCGAGCGUCAUUUCAACCAUCAAGCCCCCGGCUUGUGUUGGGGACCUGCGGCUGCCGCAGGCCCUGAAAACCAGUGGCGGGCUCGCUAGUCACUCCGAGCGUAGUAAUACAUCUCGCUCAGGGCGUGCUGCGGGUUCCGGCCGUUAAAAAGCCUUAUUUACCCAAGGUUGACCUCGGAUCAGGUAGGAAGACCCGCUGAACUUAAGCAUAUCAAUAAGCGGAGGA
Molecule: unclassified non-coding RNA, 335 nt
Filed under: soil metagenome
Description: partial contains 5.8S ribosomal RNA, internal transcribed spacer 2, and large subunit ribosomal RNA
Rfam family: 5.8S ribosomal RNA (bases 1-120)
Source: RNAcentral